RNAcentral lists this ribosomal RNA (428 nucleotides) under uncultured bacterium. RNAcentral's name for it is "bacterial SSU rRNA". It matches the Rfam family "Bacterial small subunit ribosomal RNA", at positions 354 to 796 of the family's 1533-position model. The record is from RNAcentral.
GUGAGGAAUCUUCCGCAAUGGGCGAAAGCCUGACGGAGCGACACCGCGUGGAGGAUGAAGGCCUUUUGGUUGUAAACUCCUUUUCUGGGGGAAUAAUUGAUGAAGGUACCCCAGGAAUAAGCACCGGCCAACUACGUGCCAGCAGCCGCGGUAAUACGUAGGGUGCAAGCGUUAUCCGGAAUCAUUGGGCGUAAAGCGUGCGCAGGCGGUUUGGUAAGUUUGUGGUCAAAUCUGACCGCUCAACGGUCAAAACGUCAUAAAAACUGCCAAACUAGAGAAUGAUAGAGGCAACUAGAAUUCUGCAUGUAGGGGUAAAAUCCGUUGAUAUGCAGAGGAAUACCAAAAGCGAAGGCAGGUUGCUGGAUCAUUUCUGACGCUGUCUGCACGAAAGCGUGGGGAGCAAACAGGAUUAGAUACCCGGGUAGUCC